Non-coding RNA from Corylus avellana, 1837 nucleotides. The record is from RefSeq and is a predicted model, not a curated record. Lineage: Eukaryota; Viridiplantae; Streptophyta; Magnoliopsida; Fagales; Betulaceae.
UGCAAUUUAUAUUCGUGGUUCUGUUAUAUCUAAAUAGGCUUUUAAGAAGUCAGUGACAUUUAAUGGUGCACCAUUAGCGUCCACUAAAGUGGAAGCUGAUAGUCUUAAAAAACUAAAAAAUAAAGCAACCAGCAGCACCCAAACGAAAGUGGACGCUGAUGGUUUUAGUAGAAGCUAAUGAUCCCAAAAACAAAAAAAAAUAAAGCAACCAUUAGCGUCCAAACGAAAGUGGAUGCUGAUGGUUGCACUAUUAAGUGGACGCUAAUGGUCUCAAAAACUAAAAAAAUAAAGCAACCAUCAGCGUCCAAACGAAAGUGAACGCUGAUGGUUGACAAAUGUCUCUAGGUGCUAGAAAGGAGAGGAGAGGAGGCGGCAUCCCCAAACUUAUCAGUUCUAGGUGGAGGCCCAAUACUUGAUUAUCUUCAAAGAGGUGAAUAUUCGCUAAGGUGGAGAUUGUUGGAACAAGUGGCUCAUAUUCUACUACUGGCCCAUUGGAUGUAAUUAGUUUAUGUGGCCUUGGGGAUAAAUAAGUUUUAGAGGGUAUUUUGGGGUUUUCCAAAAUAUUUACAAUUAGGGUUUUCCUAUAAAUAUGUUAUGUUGUAACCGUAAAUCAUUGAAUAGUAAAAUAUAGUCGCACUCUCUCUGUGGACGUAGGCACAUUGUCGAACCACGUAAAUCUGUGUCUUGACUCUCUCUUGAUCUCUCAUUUUGAUUCCAUAUUAUUCAUCAUUGUUGUGCACGGUAACAACACUUUCCUUCUUGCAAUGAUUGGUAUAUGCACAGUUAUAUUUUACUAGUGGGUGUUUGGACUGUAUUGGUUUCUCUUGUAUUGUGUUUUUAAUGAAGAUUUUAACUUUAGAAAAUGAAGAUGCAGAGUUAUCAUGCAUACCAUUGUAAGAGAAGGAGGAUUCUAUCCUGGAACCUGGAAGACCGGCCAAAACUGACAAGGCUGCCAUUUUGAGUGAUGCUAUGUGAGUGGUGGCCCAGUUACAAAGUGAAGCCCAGAAGCUAAAUGAAUCAAAUGAAGAUUAAAGAAUUGAAGGCUGAGAAGAAUAAGCUUCGUGAUGAGAAGCAGAGGCUCAAGGCGGACCAAGAGAAGUUUGAUUUGAAAUAUAGAUGCUUCUUCAUACCUUUGUGACAAUCAAAUAUAUGCAAAGCUCUAACAUUUCUACAAUUCAUGAAAUUGGUUAUGGGAAUUAGGUGGAAAUUUCUACAAUCUAUUUGGAUAUGACAAUCUCACUUCUUCCAAGUGACUAAUUUUGACGGUUUAUACCCACUUAUUUCUAAGAAGGAAGAGACAAACAAGAGACUUGCUUGAUAUUGAUAUUGCAACUCAUAUACAAGUCAAGGAAGAUGGACCAAAGAGGAGGUUGAUCUACGGGGGAUCUCCCUUUGAGACAAAGGAGUACUGCUUUCUCUUUUGCAGCAAUUAGCCUGUGAUAUCAAUAACGAUCUAUCCUAAAAAACUUGUUUGGAUGAUAGAUGUGGCUAAUGUCAUAAUCCCAAUAGAUCUGAUGAUUGCAAUGCAUGUGCGGCCCAUAUUUGACCAAGUCUAUAACAUACUCAACCAUCAAUGUAGCUAGCCUACAAUUACUAGUGUUGAGCUCACAAUUGUUCAGCUUCUAUUGCAUGUCAUGAAUUCCAUGCUCAUCGUGACUUGUAAAUGACUCUACUUUCUUUAAAUCGUGCAAAUUACAUUAAGCCAUGCUGUUAAUGUAUUGUGAAGGUUGUGCAAAUCUCACUGGGGAGGGGUCCCAACUGAGUAGAGUCAAAAUUAUCAUUAGGAUUAGUGAAAUCGGCUAGGUUCUUUGGAUUUAUUUCGUAGCUUCCCUUUGUU